RNAcentral lists this ribosomal RNA (497 nucleotides) under uncultured bacterium. RNAcentral's name for it is "partial 16S ribosomal RNA". It matches the Rfam family "Bacterial small subunit ribosomal RNA", at positions 28 to 507 of the family's 1533-position model. The record is from RNAcentral.
GAUGAACGCUGGCGGCGUGCCUAAUACAUGCAAGUCGAGCGAACGGACGAGGAGCUUGCUUGUCUGAUGUUAGGGGCGGACGGGUGAGUAACACGAGGAUAACCUACCUAUAAGACUGGGAUAAGUACGGGAAAGCGGAGAUAAUAACGGAUAAGAUUUUGAACGGCAUGGAUCAAAAGAGAAAGACGGACUUGCUGACACUAAUAGAUGGAUCCGCGCUGCAUUAGCUAGUUGGCAAGGUAACGGCUUACCAAGGCAACGAUGCAUAGCCGACCUGAGAGGGUGAUCAGCCACACUGGAACUGAGACACGGUCCAGACUCCUACGGGAGGCAGCAGUAGGGAAUCUUCCGCAAUGGGCGAAAGCCUGACGCAGCAACGCCGCGUGAGUGAUGAAGGUCUUCGGAUCGUAAAACUCUGUUAUUAGGGAAGAACAUCUGUGUAAGUAUCUGUGCACAUCUUGACGGUACCUAAUCAGAAAGCCACGGCUAACUACGUG